Molecule: ribosomal RNA, 492 nt
Filed under: uncultured bacterium
Lineage: Bacteria
Description: partial 16S ribosomal RNA
Rfam family: Bacterial small subunit ribosomal RNA
Source: RNAcentral
AGUGAACGCUGGCGGUAGGCCUAACACACGCGAGUCGAACGGCAGCACAGUAAGAGCUUGCUCUUACGGGUGGCGAGUGGCGGACGGGUGAGGAAUACAUCGGAAUCUACUUUUUCGUGGGGGAUAACGUAGGGAAACUUACGCUAAUACAGCAUACGACCUACGGGUGAAAGCAGAGGAUCUUCGGACCUUGCGCGAUUGAAUGAGCCGAUGGCGUGUUAGCUGGUUGGCGGGGUAAAGGCCCACCAAGGGGGCGAUCGGUAGCUGGGGUGAGAGGAGGAAGAGCGACACUGGAAGUGAGACGCGGUCCAGACACCGAGGGGAGGCCGAAGCGGGGAAUAGUGGAAGAUGGGGGGAAGACUGAUCCAGCCGUACCGCGUGGGUGCAGAAGGCCUUCGGGUGGGAAAGCCCUUUUGUUGGGAAAGAAAAGCAGCAGGUUAAUACCCCGCUGUUGUGACGGUACCCAAAGAAUAAGCACCGGCUAACUUCGUG